ACUACGGGAGGCUGCAGUGGGGAAUAUUGGGCAAUGGAGGCAACUCUGACCCAGCAACGCCGCGUGAAUGAUGAAGGUCUUCGGAUUGUAAAGUUCUUUUCUAAGGGAAGAAGAAAGUGACGGUACCUUAGGAAUAAGCCUCGGCUAACUACGUGCCAUCAGCCGCGGUAAUACGUAGGAGGCAAGCGUUAUACGGAAUGACUGGGCGUAAAAGGUGGGUAGGUGGUUUGACAAGUUGGUAGCGUAACUCCGGAGCUCAUCUUCGGAACUACUGCCAACACUGUUGGACUCGAGUGCAGGAGGGGCAACUGGAAUUUCUAGUGUAGCGGUGGAAUGCGUAGAUAUUAGGAAGAACACCGGUGGCGAAGGCGAGUUGCUGGACUGUAACUGACACUGAGGCACGAAAGCGUGGGGAGCAAACAGGAUUAGAUACCCCUGUAGUC
RNAcentral lists this ribosomal RNA (443 nucleotides) under uncultured bacterium. RNAcentral describes it as "partial 16S ribosomal RNA". It matches the Rfam family "Bacterial small subunit ribosomal RNA", at positions 338 to 795 of the family's 1533-position model. The record is from RNAcentral.